Daphnia pulex (common water flea) is the source of this 475-nucleotide long non-coding RNA. RefSeq lists it as uncharacterized. The transcript has 2 exons. Lineage: Eukaryota; Metazoa; Arthropoda; Branchiopoda; Diplostraca; Daphniidae. The record is from RefSeq and is a predicted model, not a curated record.
CAUAUUAAUACGACUGCAAUAGGUGCGUGUUCGAUGACUUCAGCUGCUGAAGGUGGCACCAUUUUCGUAUUGUAUCCCACUGCUGCUGCCAUCAGCAGCAAUAAUGUCCGUCGAAUGUCAAAUUUAUUCAAAAAGAAGAAGAAGAAAAAUCCGCCAAACAAUAAGAGGUUAUUUGCAGGCUUUGCUUCUAUAGGAAUAAUGGCCUCUGAUCUAAAUACAAAAGUGAGUGUGACCUGUCCUCAUAUUUCUGCUGGCACCACAGUCACAACGCAGAAUGGGCCAGUAUUACCGAACGAGAUGAGAGAGGAGACAGGAUUCGUGCAACUUAUCAUUUUAGGUGCUGAAUCUCGGGAAAGAGUUGCAGCCGCCUGUGAGUGGAAGUCUAGCAUUUAGGCAAUCCUUAAAAUUAUUAUUUUUUUUUUAGUAUAAGAUAACAAUUAAGAGUUUUAUACAAUAAUACAACUAAAUGUGAAAG